CCUACGGGAGGCAGCAGUGGGGAAUCUUGCGCAAUGGGCGAAAGCCUGACGCAGCAACGCCGCGUGCGGGAAGACGGCCUUAGGGUUGUAAACCGCUUUCAGGGGGGACGAAGCUUCCGAGGUUAAUAGCCUACGGGGUGACGGUACCCCCAGAAGAAGCCCCGGCUAACUACGUGCCAGCAGCCGCGGUAAUACGUAGGGGGCGAGCGUUGUCCGGAAUCAUUGGGCGUAAAGCGCGUGUAGGCGGCUUGGCAAGUCUGGUGUGAAAUCUUGGGGCUCAACCCCAAGCGUGCACUGGAAACUGCCUCGCUAGAGUCCGGGAGAGGAGAGCGGAACUCCCAGUGUAGCGGUGAAAUGCGCAGAUAUUGGGAAGAACACCGAUGGCGAAGGCAGCUCUCUGGAACGGUACUGACGCUGAGACGCGAAAGCGUGGGGAGCGAACAGGAUUAGAUACCCUGGUAGUCCACGCCGUAAACGAUGGGCACUAGAUGUGGGCGGUGUCGACUCCGUCCGUGUCGAAGCUAACGCAUUAAGUGCCCCGCCUGGGGAGUACGGCCGCAAGGCUAAAACUCAAAGGAAUUGACGG
This 586-nucleotide ribosomal RNA is filed under the name uncultured Actinomycetes bacterium. RNAcentral describes it as "bacterial SSU rRNA". It matches the Rfam family "Bacterial small subunit ribosomal RNA", at positions 338 to 916 of the family's 1533-position model. The record is from RNAcentral. Lineage: Bacteria; Bacillati; Actinomycetota; Actinomycetes.